GGUUAAGCGACUAAGCGUACACGGUGGAUGCCCUGGCAGUCAGAGGCGAUGAAGGACGUGCUAAUCUGCGAAAAGCGUCGGUAAGGUGAUAUGAACCGUUAUAACCGGCGAUGUCCGAAUGGGGAAACCCAGUGCAAUUCGUUGCACUAUCGUUAACUGAAUACAUAGGUUAACGAGGCGAACCGGGGGAACUGAAACAUCUAAGUACCCCGAGGAAAAGAAAUCAACCGAGAUUCCCCCAGUAGCGGCGAGCGAACGGGGAGCAGCCCAGAGUCUGAAUCAGCUUGUGUGUUAGUGGAACGGUCUGGAAAGUCCGACGGUACAGGGUGAUAGUCCCGUACACCAAAAUGCACAGGCUGUGAACUCGAAGAGUAGGGCGGGACACGUGGUAUCCUGUCUGAAUAUGGGGGGACCAUCCUCCAAGGCUAAAUACUCCUGACUGACCGAUAGUGAACCAGUACCGUGAGGGAAAGGCGAAAAGAACCCCGGCGAGGGGAGUGAAAAAGAACCUGAAACCGUGUACGUACAAGCAGUGGGAGCACCUUCGGGUGUGACUGCGUACCUUUUGUAUAAUGGGUCAGCGACUUAUAUUCUGUAGCAAGGUUAACCGUAUAGGGGAGCCGCAGGGAAACCGAGUCUUAACUGGGCGUUAAGUUGCAGGGUAUAGACCCGAAACCCGGUGAUCUAGCCAUGGGCAGGUUGAAGGUUGGGUAACACUAACUGGAGGACCGAACCGACUAAUGUUGAAAAAUUAGCGGAUGACUUGUGGCUGGGGGUGAAAGGCCAAUCAAACCGGGAGAUAGCUGGUUCUCCCCGAAAGCUAUUUAGGUAGCGCCUCGUGAAUUCAUCUUCGGGGGUAGAGCACUGUUUCGGCUAGGGGGUCAUCCCGACUUACCAACCCGAUGCAAACUACGAAUACCGAAGAAUGUUAUCACGGGAGACACACGGCGGGUGCUAACGUCCGUCGUGAAGAGGGAAACAACCCAGACCGCCAGCUAAGGUCCCAAAGUCAUGGUUAAGUGGGAAACGAUGUGGGAAGGCACAGACAGCCAGGAUGUUGGCUUAGAAGCAGCCAUCAUUUAAAGAAAGCGUAAUAGCUCACUGGUCGAGUCGGCCUGCGCGGAAGAUGUAACGGGGCUAAACCAUGCACCGAAGCUGCGGCAGCGACACUAUGUGUUGUUGGGUAGGGGAGCGUUCUGUAAGCCUGCGAAGGUGACCUGUGAGGGUUGCUGGAGGUAUCAGAAGUGCGAAUGCUGACAUAAGUAACGAUAAAGCGGGUGAAAAGCCCGCUCGCCGGAAGACCAAGGGUUCCUGUCCAACGUUAAUCGGGGCAGGGUGAGUCGACCCCUAAGGCGAGGCCGAAAGGCGUAGUCGAUGGGAAACAGGUUAAUAUUCCUGUACUUGGUGUUACUGCGAAGGGGGGACGGAGAAGGCUAUGUUAGCCGGGCGACGGUUGUCCCGGUUUAAGCAUGUAGGCUGGUUGUCCAGGCAAAUCCGGAUAAUCAAGGCUGAGGUGUGAUGACGAGGCACUACGGUGCUGAAGUAACAAAUGCCCUGCUUCCAGGAAAAGCCUCUAAGCAUCAGGUAACAUCAAAUCGUACCCCAAACCGACACAGGUGGUCAGGUAGAGAAUACCAAGGCGCUUGAGAGAACUCGGGUGAAGGAACUAGGCAAAAUGGUGCCGUAACUUCGGGAGAAGGCACGCUGGUGUGUAGGUGAAGCCCCUGCGGGUGGAGCUGAGACCAGUCGAAGAUACCAGCUGGCUGCAACUGUUUAUUAAAAACACAGCACUGUGCAAACACGAAAGUGGACGUAUACGGUGUGACGCCUGCCCGGUGCCGGAAGGUUAAUUGAUGGGGUUAUCCGUAAGGAGAAGCUCUUGAUCGAAGCCCCGGUAAACGGCGGCCGUAACUAUAACGGUCCUAAGGUAGCGAAAUUCCUUGUCGGGUAAGUUCCGACCUGCACGAAUGGCGUAAUGAUGGCCAGGCUGUCUCCACCCGAGACUCAGUGAAAUUGAACUCGCUGUGAAGAUGCAGUGUACCCGCGGCAAGACGGAAAGACCCCGUGAACCUUUACUAUAGCUUGACACUGAACAUUGAGCCUUGAUGUGUAGGAUAGGUGGGAGGCUUUGAAGCGUGGACGCCAGUCUGCGUGGAGCCAACCUUGAAAUACCACCCUUUAAUGUUUGAUGUUCUAACGUUGGCCCCUUACCGGGGUUGCGGACAGUGUCUGGUGGGUAGUUUGACUGGGGCGGUCUCCUCCCAAAGCGUAACGGAGGAGCACGAAGGUUAGCUAAUCCUGGUCGGACAUCAGGAGGUUAGUGCAAUGGCAUAAGCUAGCUUGACUGCGAGCGUGACGGCGCGAGCAGGUGCGAAAGCAGGUCAUAGUGAUCCGGUGGUUCUGAAUGGAAGGGCCAUCGCUCAACGGAUAAAAGGUACUCCGGGGAUAACAGGCUGAUACCGCCCAAGAGUUCAUAUCGACGGCGGUGUUUGGCACCUCGAUGUCGGCUCAUCACAUCCUGGGGCUGAAGUAGGUCCCAAGGGUAUGGCUGUUCGCCAUUUAAAGUGGUACGCGAGCUGGGUUUAGAACGUCGUGAGACAGUUCGGUCCCUAUCUGCCGUGGGCGCUGGAGAAUUGAGGGGGGCUGCUCCUAGUACGAGAGGACCGGAGUGGACGCAUCACUGGUGUUCGGGUUGUCAUGCCAAUGGCACUGCCCGGUAGCUAAAUGCGGAAGAGAUAAGUGCUGAAAGCAUCUAAGCACGAAACUUGCCCCGAGAUGAGUUCUCCCUGAGACUUUAAGUCUCCUGAAGGAACGUUGAAGACGACGACGUUGAUAGGCCGGGUGUGUAAGCGCAGCGAUGCGUUGAGCUAACCGGUACUAAUGAACCGUGAGGCUUAACCUU
RNAcentral lists this ribosomal RNA (2902 nucleotides) under Klebsiella pneumoniae. RNAcentral's name for it is "23S ribosomal RNA". It matches the Rfam family "Bacterial large subunit ribosomal RNA". Lineage: Bacteria; Pseudomonadati; Pseudomonadota; Gammaproteobacteria; Enterobacterales; Enterobacteriaceae. The record is from RNAcentral.